ACGAACAGGGACCAGCCUAGCAAGAGAUAACUAGUGUGUUAGUGGAACGCUCUGGAAAAGUGCGGCCAUAGUGGGUGAUAGCCCCGUACGCGAAAACACAUUAGCGAGACUGAGCUUGCGACAAGUAGGGCGGGACACGUGAAAUCCUGUCUGAAGAUGGGGGGACCAUCCUCCAAGGCUAAAUACUCGUAAUCGACCGAUAGUGAACCAGUACCGUGAGGGAAAGGCGAAAAGAACCCCGGGAGGGGAGUGAAAUAGAUCCUGAAAACCGCAUGCAUACAAACAGUGGGAGCCUCGCAAGGGGUGACUGCGUACCUUUUGUAUAAUGGGUCAGCGACUUACGUUCUGUAGCGAGCUUAACCGAAUAGGGGAGGCGUAGCGAAAGCGAGUCUGAUAAGGGCGCUUUAGUUGCAGGGCGUAGACCCGAAACCAGAUGAUCUAUCCAUGGCCAGGAUGAAGGUGCCGUAACAGGUACUGGAGGUCCGAACCCACUAAUGUUGAAAAAUUAGGGGAUGAGCUGUGGAUAGGGGUGAAAGGCU
This 539-nucleotide ribosomal RNA is filed under the name uncultured bacterium. Its description in RNAcentral is "bacterial LSU rRNA". It matches the Rfam family "Bacterial large subunit ribosomal RNA", at positions 288 to 830 of the family's 2925-position model. The record is from RNAcentral.